RNAcentral lists this ribosomal RNA (253 nucleotides) under uncultured bacterium. RNAcentral's name for it is "partial 16S ribosomal RNA". It matches the Rfam family "Bacterial small subunit ribosomal RNA", at positions 524 to 776 of the family's 1533-position model. The record is from RNAcentral.
GACAGAGGGUGCAAACGUUGCUCGGAAUCACUGGGCGUAAAGGGCGUGUAGGCGGGAAGGAAAGUCGGACGUGAAAUCCCCAGGCUCAACCUGGGAACUGCGCUCGAAACUCCCUUUCUUGAGUGCCGGAGAGGAAAGCGGAAUUCCUGGUGUAGAGGUGAAAUUCGUAGAUAUCAGGAGGAACACCAGUGGCGAAGGCGGCUUUCUGGACGGUAACUGACGCUGAGACGCGAAAGCGUGGGGAGCAAACGGG